Molecule: ribosomal RNA, 465 nt
Filed under: uncultured bacterium
Lineage: Bacteria
Description: partial 16S ribosomal RNA
Rfam family: Bacterial small subunit ribosomal RNA
Source: RNAcentral
CCUACGGGAGGCUGCAGUAGGGAAUCUUCCACAAUGGGCGAAAGCCUGAUGGAGCAACGCCGCGUGGGUGAAGAAGGUCUUCGGAUCGUAAAACCCUGUUGUUAGAGAAGAAAGUGCGUGAGAGUAACUGUUCACGUUUCGACGGUAUCUAACCAGAAAGCCACGGCUAACUACGUGCCAGCAGCCGCGGUAAUACGUAGGUGGCAAGCGUUAUCCGGAUUUAUUGGGGGUAAAGGGAACGCAGGCGGUCUUUUAAGUCUGAUGUGAAAGCCUUCGGCUUAACCGGAGUAGUGCAUUGGAAACUGGUAGACUAGAGUGCAGAAGAGGAGAGUGGAACGCAAUGUGUAGCGGUGAAAUGCGUAGAUAUAUGGCAGAACACCAGUGGCGAAAGCAGCUCUCUGGUCUGUAACUGACGCUGAGGUUCGAAAGCGUGGGUAGCAAACAGGAUUAGAUACCCGGGUAGUC